RNAcentral lists this transfer RNA (72 nucleotides) under Camelus bactrianus (Bactrian camel). It matches the Rfam family "tRNA". From Rfam's summary of the family: Transfer RNA (tRNA) molecules are approximately 80 nucleotides in length. RNAcentral also lists the same sequence under 2 other names. Lineage: Eukaryota; Metazoa; Chordata; Mammalia; Artiodactyla; Camelidae. The record is from Rfam by way of RNAcentral.
GUGGGUACAGCUGAAUGGCAGAGCAGGUGCUUAGCAUGCAUGAGGUCCUGGGUUCAAUUGCCAGUACCUCCA